RNAcentral lists this ribosomal RNA (198 nucleotides) under uncultured bacterium. RNAcentral describes it as "partial 16S ribosomal RNA". It matches the Rfam family "Bacterial small subunit ribosomal RNA", at positions 328 to 539 of the family's 1533-position model. The record is from RNAcentral.
ACGCUCGACACCUACGGAGGCAGCAGUCGGGAAUAUUGCGCAAUGGAGGAAACUCUGACGCAGUGACGCCGCGUAUAGGAAGAAGGUUUUCGGAUUGUAAACUAUUGUCGUUUAGGGAAGAGAAAGGACAGUACCUAAGGAGGAAGCUCCGGCUAACUACGUGCCAACAGCCACGGUAAUCUGAGCGGCUGGCAAGGC